Molecule: long non-coding RNA, 798 nt
Organism: Bos indicus x Bos taurus (hybrid cattle)
Lineage: Eukaryota; Metazoa; Chordata; Mammalia; Artiodactyla; Bovidae
Source: Ensembl
UGGCAGAGCCUUGGAGCACCAUGGCUUCCGCUAAGGACAUCGACGAUUUCAUCAAUUCCCUCAAAGCCAAAUUGUUUCAAUUCGUGGAAUUGUUUUGUACAAACCUUCAAAAGAAGUCUAAAGAAGAGGUCUGCUCAGAUCUUAUUUUAAUGGAGAGCAUAUGCAGUGCAGAUAUGGCUGACGCCGUGGAUGCUCAAGUUAACAACUCGGAAUCCUGUCCAUUGCUUCGUGAAACACUGCAAGAGUUGCGUCGCAGAGUCUGUGAGCCCUCUGGCUCCUACAGUCCCCCAGGCCGGAACCAGCCCUUUGACUCCUCCACUUCAAGGGAUUGGUAUGACUGGAUACUUGAGCUAUUUAAAGAGCUCCUGCGGCGACUGCAGCAGAAGUUUCAGAAAGCCCUGGAGUGGCUUCAUCAGAUAGCGGCUGCCUGCCUACAGGGCUUGCGCAUAGCGGCUGAGGCCGUCUGGAGAGUGUUGAAUGAUUUUUGCUCCUCUCUGGAGCAGCUCUUCAGGAGCCUCAUCCAGGUCUAGAAGCCCCAAGGGGUCCCCAGGGAGCUUGGCCUCAUCUAGACGCCUCAAUUUCCCCUUCUCACAGGGCAUCUUCUGAUGCACCCUUUACCCUCCUGCUCACCCUUGACCCAUCCUCAUAGCCUGCCUCACCCCCUCCCCUUCAGGGAGGGCACCACCCAGCCCAUCUAACUCUCCCUGCCUGAAUUUUCCUGCACCAGGUCUGGCCUGCCUGUCACUGUAGUGCUGAUGUGCUAAUAAAAGUCAGUUAACCCAAAUGGAGUGUCUGUGU